RNAcentral lists this transfer RNA (64 nucleotides) under Onthophagus rorarius. RNAcentral's name for it is "tRNA-His". The record is from RNAcentral. Lineage: Eukaryota; Metazoa; Arthropoda; Insecta; Coleoptera; Scarabaeidae.
AUUUAAAUAGUUUAUUAAAAAUAUUGAUUUGUGGUAUCAAAGAUACAAUUAUUUGUUUUAAAUA